RNAcentral lists this ribosomal RNA (493 nucleotides) under uncultured bacterium. RNAcentral describes it as "partial 16S ribosomal RNA". It matches the Rfam family "Bacterial small subunit ribosomal RNA", at positions 29 to 523 of the family's 1533-position model. The record is from RNAcentral.
AUUGAACGCUGGCGGCAUGCUUUACACAUGCAAGUCGAACGGUAACAGGUUAAGCUGACGAGUGGCGAACGGGUGAGUAAUGCAUCGGAACGUGCCCGGUCGUGGGGGAUAACGCAGCGAAAGCUGCGCUAAUACCGCAUACGAUCUGAGGAUGAAAGCGGGGGACCGUAAGGCCUCGUGCGAUCGGAGCGGCCGAUGUCAGAUUAGGUAGUUGGUGGGGUAAAGGCUCACCAAGCCAACGAUCUGUAGCUGGUCUGAGAGGACGACCAGCCACACUGGGACUGGGACACGGCGCAGACUCCUACGGGAGGCAGCAGUGGGGAAUUUUGGACAAUGGGCGAAAGCCUGAUCCAGCAAUGCCGCGUGCAGGAAGAAGGGCUUCGGGUUGUAAACUGCUUUUGUACGGAGCGAAAAGGUCUCCUCUAAUACAGGGGGCUCAUGACGGUACCGUAAGAAUAAGCACCGGCUAACUACGUGCCAGCAGCCGCGGUAA